Molecule: ribosomal RNA, 253 nt
Filed under: uncultured bacterium
Lineage: Bacteria
Description: partial 16S ribosomal RNA
Rfam family: Bacterial small subunit ribosomal RNA
Source: RNAcentral
GACGAAGGGGGCAAGCGUUGUUCGGAAUUACUGGGCGUAAAGGGCGCGCAGGCGGCUCUUUUAGUCAGGCGUGAAAGCCCUGGGCUCAACCUGGGAGUGGCGCUUGAUACUGGAGGGCUAGAGAGUGGGAGAGGUUGGUGGAAUUCCCAGUGUAGAGGUGAAAUUCGUAGAUAUUGGGAAGAACACCGGUGGCGAAGGCGGCCAACUGGACCAUUUCUGACGCUGAGGCGCGAAAGCGUGGGGAGCAAACAGG